CAAGAAAUAGUUUAUAAAAAAUUUUAAUUUUGGAUAUUAAAGAUAGGGAAUUCCCUUUUCUUGA
This 64-nucleotide transfer RNA is filed under the name Zoodes fulguratus. Its description in RNAcentral is "tRNA-Pro". Lineage: Eukaryota; Metazoa; Arthropoda; Insecta; Coleoptera; Cerambycidae. The record is from RNAcentral.